CAUCAUGUCCGAUACACUAGAAACCCACCUCCUUGCAUAACCAUUCCCCUCUUCUGGUCACGUAAUUCCCCUCAUCGACCUUUCCAAAAUCCUAGUCUCUCACAACAUAUAUGUCACCAAAACUGUGGUAAGACUAGCGUCAUUCCUUUGGCGGAUGGAGACCGUGAGAAGCAGAUUAUUUUACAUGAAGAUCUCGAACCAGAUAAGAACCAAAAACGGAAACAUUCAGCGUCUAUAAUUUGGCAACCUCUGAGACUGUCUGAAGUUGAAUUAUGUCCUGAAGAUAUUCAUGAGUAUGCUGUUGGAUGA
This is a non-coding RNA of Vicia faba (fava bean), 309 nucleotides long. The record is from the annotation of a GenBank genome assembly. Lineage: Eukaryota; Viridiplantae; Streptophyta; Magnoliopsida; Fabales; Fabaceae.